GAUUUCUGGCGUUUCAUUUCAGGCCGGCCACGGUUUCGUGUGUUAGUGCUUGAGAUCUUCGCCAUCCUUCCAAUGGCUAUUCAUCCUUCUUCAUUGAAGGUGUGAGUGGUAUUGGAUCUUUUACUUUGAAAAAAUUAGAGUGUUUAAAGCAGGCUUUCGCUAUGAAUACAUUAGCAUGGAAUAAUAAUUUAGGACUUUGUUUCUAUUUUGUUGGUUUCUAGAGGCGAAGUAAUGAUUGAUAGGGAUAGUUGGGGGUGCUAGUAUUCAGCGGCCAGAGGUGAAAUUCUUGGAUUCGCUGAAGACUAACUUAUGCGAAAGCAUU
This 322-nucleotide ribosomal RNA is filed under the name uncultured Neoheteromita. RNAcentral's name for it is "SSU rRNA". It matches the Rfam family "Eukaryotic small subunit ribosomal RNA", at positions 633 to 955 of the family's 1831-position model. Lineage: Eukaryota; Cercozoa; Glissomonadida; Viridiraptoridae. The record is from RNAcentral.